Molecule: ribosomal RNA, 253 nt
Filed under: uncultured bacterium
Lineage: Bacteria
Description: partial 16S ribosomal RNA
Rfam family: Bacterial small subunit ribosomal RNA
Source: RNAcentral
UACGAAGGUGGCAAGCGUUGUUCGGAUUUACUGGGCGUAAAGGGAGCGUAGGUGGUUAGGUAAGCCCUCCGGGAAAUCUUCAGGCUUAACCUGAAAAGGUCGGGGGGGACUGCCUGGCUAGAGGACGGGAGAGGAGCGCGGAAUUCCUGGUGUAGCGGUGAAAUUCGUAGAUAUUGGCUAGAACACCAGUGGCGAAGGCGGCGACCUGGGAAGAUACUGACGCUGAGAUGCGAAAGCGUGGGGAGCAAACAGG